This 208-nucleotide ribosomal RNA is filed under the name uncultured bacterium. RNAcentral's name for it is "partial 16S ribosomal RNA". It matches the Rfam family "Bacterial small subunit ribosomal RNA", at positions 568 to 774 of the family's 1533-position model. The record is from RNAcentral.
CUCGUAGGCGGUUCGGUAAGUCGGGUGUGAAAACUCUGGGCUCAACCCAGAGAGGCCACCCGAUACUGCUGUGACUAGAGUGCGGUAGGGGAGCGGGGAAUUCCUGGUGUAGCGGUGAAAUGCGCAGAUAUCAGGAGGAACACCAGCGGCGAAGGCGCCGCUCUGGGCCGUAACUGACGCUGAGGAGCGAAAGCAUGGGUAGCAAACA